CAGUACUUGAAUGUAGUUCGAUAUGUCAAUAUUAAUGAAUAUGUUGUUGUAUGUGCUACUAGGAAUAACUUAUUCAUAUGUAAAUGGUGAUGAAAUUUACAGAGACUCCAGAUUCUUGAUAUCUUCCAACUGCGGCCAAGGAGGGAACACACAGGUAUGUCUAAAUCCGUUUACAAGACAAGUGGUUCCUGUCUGUUGCCUACCACCGACAACCGGACUCUGUUGCAGAA
This is a long non-coding RNA of Mytilus trossulus (common blue mussel), 230 nucleotides long. RefSeq lists it as uncharacterized. The record is from RefSeq and is a predicted model, not a curated record. Lineage: Eukaryota; Metazoa; Mollusca; Bivalvia; Mytilida; Mytilidae. The transcript has 3 exons.